GAUGAACGCUGGCGGCGUGCCUAAUACAUGCAAGUCGAGCGAACAGAUGAGGAGCUUGCUCCUCUGACGUUAGCGGCGGACGGGUGAGUAACACGUGGAUAACCUACCCAUAAGACUGGGAUAACUUCGGGAAACCGGAGCUAAUACCGGAUAAUAUAUUGAACCGCAUGGUUCAAUAGUGAAAGACGGUUUUGCUGUAACUUAUAGAUGGAUCCGCGCCGCAUUAGCUAGUUGGUAAGGUAACGGCUUACCAAGGCAACGAUGCGUAGCCGACCUGAGAGGGUGAUCGGCCACACUGGAACUGAGACACGGUCCAGACUCCUACGGGAGGCAGCAGUAGGGAAUCUUCCGCAAUGGGCGAAAGCCUGACGGAGCAACGCCGCGUGAUUGAUGAAGGUCUUCGGAUCGUAAAACUCUGUUAUUAGGGAAGAACAAAUGUGUAAGUAACUAUGCACGUCUUGACGGUACCUAAUCAGAAAGCCACGGCUAACUACGUG
RNAcentral lists this ribosomal RNA (497 nucleotides) under uncultured bacterium. Its description in RNAcentral is "partial 16S ribosomal RNA". It matches the Rfam family "Bacterial small subunit ribosomal RNA", at positions 28 to 507 of the family's 1533-position model. The record is from RNAcentral.